AGAAUCAACGCUGGCGGCGUGCCUAACACAUGCAAGUCGAACGAGAAAGUGGAGCAAUCCACAAGUAAAGUGGCGCACGGGUGAGUAACACGUGACUAACCUACCCUUGAGUGGGGGAUAACCUAGGGAAACCUGGGCUAAUACCGCAUAAUACCUUCGGGUCAAAGGAGCAAUUCGCUUAAGGAGGGGGUCGCGGCCGAUUAGUUAGUUGGCGGGUAAUGGCCCACCAAGACUGUGAUCGGUAUCC
Molecule: ribosomal RNA, 247 nt
Filed under: uncultured bacterium
Lineage: Bacteria
Description: partial small subunit ribosomal RNA
Rfam family: Bacterial small subunit ribosomal RNA
Source: RNAcentral